UACGGAGGGGGCUAGCGUUGUUCGGAAUUACUGGGCGUAAAGCGCACGUAGGCGGCUUUGUAAGUUAGAUGUGAAAGCCCGGGGCUCAACUCCGGAAUUGCCUUUAAGACUGCAUCGCUAGAAUUGUGGAGAGGUAAGUGGAAUUCCGCGUGUAGAGGUGAAAUUCGUAGAUAUUCGGAAGAACACCAGUGGCGAAGGCGACUUACUGGACACAUAUUGACGCUGAGGUGCGAAAGCGUGGGGAGCAAACAGG
RNAcentral lists this ribosomal RNA (253 nucleotides) under uncultured bacterium. RNAcentral's name for it is "partial 16S ribosomal RNA". It matches the Rfam family "Bacterial small subunit ribosomal RNA", at positions 524 to 776 of the family's 1533-position model. The record is from RNAcentral.